UGUGUGUGUGUAUAUACAUAUUAUUUAUUUAUCCAAUGGAAAGGUUAUUCAACGUUAUUUUUAACUCAAUGUGGUUUCAUCUAAUUUAGCGUGAAUUAAAGAAAAAAUACUCGAUGGCUUUUGGGACAAAAGAUCUUGCUCCGUUUCCGCUACGUUGGAGAUUCCAGUGUUAAGCAUAAGCACACCACUUUCAACUGUCAAAUUAACAAAUAGGUGUUAGUUUCAAUACACGACUUCUAAAUAGCCAACCUCAGUAGUUAAGUAGUAGUAGUAUUAGCAUUGCAUUGAGGACCGCAAACAAGGUUCCGUAAAAGUACUGAUGGAAAAGUAUAAUUUAUGAGGUGAGGAUAAUUCCACCUACCAUCGUGAACAAACGAGUGGUGAUGAUAGAGAUAAGAUAGAUUGAGGCACGAAGCAAAGCCACGUGGCCGACUGGUAGCAUAUCAACUAACGUUGGUGCUCGUUGCAACCACACUAUUUCCACAAGCUCUCUCCCUGUUUCUUAUCAUUAAGAAGAAGCAGAGCAUCAGGAGUUGGUAAAGUAGCCUUCUCAUAAACUCAAACAAGGAAAUGGCGACCGCACCCGCUUUAUGUGGCUCUGUGUUGAACACCUCUUUUCUCAGGAAGCAGCCUGUGAUCAGCACAAGCCUCAAGUCAUUCCCAAACGCUAACGCCAUGUUCGGUGUGGAAGGAGGACGUGGAGGUCGUGUGACUGCCAUGGCCGCUUACAAGGUGAAGCUGAUCACCCCAGAGGGAGAGCAGGAGUUCGAAUGCCCAGAUGAUGAAUACAUUCUUGAUGUUGCAGAGGGCCUAGGCCUUGACCUUCCCUACUCAUGCAGGGCUGGUUCUUGNUCUUCCUGUGCUGGCAAAGUUGUCGCCGGCAAAGUCGACCAGUCGGACGGUAACUACCUUGAUGACGACCAAAUUGGUGAAGGCUGGGUUCUCACCUGCGUUGCUUACCCAACCUCAGAUCUUGUUAUCGAAACCCACAAGGAGGAAGACCUCGUUGCUUAAAUCUUAUCAUCAUCAUCAUCGCUGCCUCUACUUUAUUAAGUUUCUUCCUUUCCCUGUGCUGCCUUUUCUUUAUCUGAGGAUAGACACACCCAUUAUGCUUUAUUACGUACCAUAAAUACCUUCUUAUGCAGUAAUGUAAUUCAUUACUUCCCCUGUAUUAGCAGCUCAACAUGUUUUUUUGUUAACUAUAAUAAUCUUUUCCUUACAGUUUUUGCGCGCAAUAUCCUUUCCACUUUCCGCCCUUCAAUCACUGAUUAUUACCUUUUACGAUCACAAAUUCGAUCUUGUCAUUCUAUCCGUGUUAACAUUUUAUGGUAUUGGAUUCAUAAAUUUAUGAAAGCAGUGCUAAAUACUAUCACAUAUUUAUUUACACAUCAAUCUGCGCAAAUACAAUAUAUAAAAAUGUUUUUCAUUGCUCAAUUAACAAUACAUAUAAUAUUUAUAAGCAAAACAGAUAGAAGUGCAACUCAAACAUACUUGCUUGUUUACGUUUUCACGCUCCCGACAUUUUUAUAUUUACGAUCUUAUCAUUCUCUUUUUGAGGUGAAAGAGGGAAUAUCUCUAUCAGAGAAGAUAAUGGAUAAAUCCCACAUAAACUAUAAUCUGAUAAGUCUUUCUAUAUAUAUCAAUCCAAGAUGUAUUUUCUUUCCCAGGGUUUGGAGAGGGUGCUCUUGGAGCAAAGAUUUGUAACUAUUAAAAAUGAAAUAAACUAAAAGUUAAAAUGAGGUUCUAUUAUUUAAGUAAAGGUUAAAUAAUUUCAAAUCUUUCGUAGUAGCAAAGAGUCCACUAAAAUAAUGCAGAGUCAGCAAAGUGACAGAUUCUCUGCCAUUGAAGUAUUUUAACUUAUUCUAAUUUGAGAUUUUAUUGCUUUCUAUAUUUAAAACAGAGGUAAAAAAAUUGUUAAAAAAACAUUUUUCUUUUAACUUAUAGUAUAUUAACAAUAUUUUAAUGUUUAAAAGCCGGAAAAGAAGAGUAUGAAUGGAUAAGAUAUGCAUCGAAGAACAAUGUGAUGAUAAUUUUCAAGUGGAAGCCUGGAUUUUGCACAAUCUGUGGAGAUAACAGAGGCACAGAGAUUGAGGUACGUGAGGUUGCAUUCGACCAAGAUAUGGUGAUAACAAUCGUGAGAACCAGUUGUGAUAAAGCCACGUGUAAGUGGGGUUGCAUGUGAUGUUGGAACUGGUUGUAAUCACAAGCUCCUUAUCGUUAUCAACAAAGAAGAAGAAAAAUCCAUCAACUUUGCAAGCAAGAGGAGAAUGGCGUUGAUUCAUGUGGCAGUGUUGAACACCUCCUUCCUCUGGAAACAGCCAGUCCUGAAGGCAUUCCCGAAUGCUAACGCCAUGUUUGGUGUGAAAGGAGGAAGUGGGGGUCGUGUGAGUGCCAUGGCCAGUUACAAGGUGAAGCUGAUCACACCAGAGGGAGACAAAGAAUUUGAAUGCCCAGAUGAUGCUUAUAUUCUUGACCAGGCUGAGGAAAUAGGCAUUGAUCUUCCCUACUCAUGCAGGGCUGGUGCUUGUUCUAGCUGUGCUGGCAAAGUUGUGGCUGGCCAAGUAGACCAAUCAGAUGGUAGUUUCCUUGAUGAAACUCAAGAGAGUGAAGGCUUUGUUCUCACCUGCAUCGCUUACCCCACUUCAGAUGUUGUUAUUCUCACUCACAAGGAGGAGGAACUCACUGCCACUGCUUGACUCACUCAGUUUCUUCCCUUCUCAACCUCAUCAUCUUUUUUCUUUUCUGUCUUGUGCAAUUUUCUCAGGAUUUUACUAUAUAUAUCAUGUUUCAUUCUUUGUUUUAUGAUCGGCAACUUAUCACGAAAUUUUUUGCCUUGAUGCUGACUUGCAUUGUAGCUUCUUAUCUCAGUUGUUAUAGAUGAUGAUUUCAUGCAUUGUGUGGCCAAAGUUUUUAACCUUCAUAUCACUUAAAAAUGAGAGAUGAUAUCUGAUUGUGUCUGCUGCAUUAGGUAGAUUCCACUUGUGAUAAAAGAAUUGAAGCAGGCUAAGGAUAUGGAAUGGGAGGCAUUAGAGAAAAGAACAUCAUUGUAGUUGAAUUCCUUGCCAAAAUUAAGGAAUGAAGUCAAUCAAAUGCAAAUGGUUAUAUUCACACUUUUGUGUUUUCUUUCUGUUCUACCUUUUACUUUUCCCUAGUAUUGCCAGAAUCAGUCAUGUGAACUGCAUAAGGGUAGACCAUUUGAAGACAGAUCCUUUCUCAUUGAUGCAUAAUUGUCAAACGCUAAAACAUAGAUAGAGGGUUCAUCAAGUUCCACAUUAAGAAGAACGUUUCACAAACAUACCCAAAAUAUUCACAUUCUUCCCUGCCAAGCCCAUGAAACAUAUAUCAUAGGAUCCAUGUCUUGUAAAUCAAAUCAGUUCAUCCAUUGUCUUUACUCCUCUAGUUGAAUCAAGUAAUUGACCAAUUUUGUACUUCAAUUCUUCAGGUUUGCUUUCUUAGCGUUAUCUUUAAGGUAGCUGUUCCUUGUUUGAUCCUAACACACUGUCAUCUUCAAAAGAACUUUUACUGAGGUCCAUACUUCUUCAAGGAAACUCAAAGGUCCUCAAUUAUAUGAUAUGCAUCCUGAACAGCAGUACUGCAACACAAGUAUGAGAUGGAAAUCCGCUUACAGAUAUUGAAUUUGCAAGGGAAUAAAUGGAAGAAAGAAAACUGAACAACUGGAAUAAAUAGUUGAAAUAAGAUUGUUCAAGUAAUAACAGUGUUUCCAAAUUAAUCUUUAUUACUGAUGAAGUAGUUGAAGUGAGCAAAGUAGUUGAAGUGAGCAGAAGGAAAACGUGGUAAAAAUACGUGUGGUGAUAAGAGAUGAGUUGAAGCCUAUAACAGUGACACGUGGCAGAUAAGGUUGUACGUGAUUUCACUUCAUUUCAUUGGUUUAUGUAUCAGAGAAGAAGAAGAAGAAGAAAAAGAAGGAGAAGAAGCAGCAACAGCAAGAGGAGAAUGGCAGCUCUGUGUGGCCCUGCAUUGAACAGCUCCUUCCUGAGGAAGCAAGCAGUGAACAUGUCAAGCAUGAAGGCAUUCGAAAACGCCAACGCCGUGUUUGGUGUGAAAGAAGGACGAGGUGGUCGUGUGACUGCCAUGGCCACUUACAAGGUGAAGCUGAUAACCCCAGAGGGAGAAAAGCAGAUCAAAUGCUCAGAUAGUGAAUACAUUCUUGAUGCUGCAGAAGAACAAGGCCUUGACCUUCCCUACUCAUGCAGGGCUGGUGCCUGUUCUUCUUGUGCUGGAAAAAUUGUGUCUGGCAAAGUGGACCAGACAGACAAUAGCUUCCUUGAUGACGACCAAGUUGAUGCAGGAUUUGUUCUCACCUGUAUUGCUUACCCGACCUCUGACGUUGUCAUCCGCACCAACGUGGAGGACGAACUCAAUGAUUUUUAAAUCUUGUUUUCUUUCAAAUCUCAUGUACUGUUGAAUAAGGUGAAUCUUGUUGCUUUCCUUUCUGCUUCAGUUAUGAACUCUCAUGUUAUUGCUUUCCUUGCCUUCUUAUAUGAACUAUUAAGCUUCGAACGAAAUCACCAGCAAUUAUCAUGUGGUAUAUGUUAUACUUGCAAUUACACGACAAGUCCAUAUGUGUGGUCGUUCUUGAUUGGUAACACCAUUCAUUGACAAGGAUAAUUUUGUAAGCAAUAAAUAAAUUAAAAAGAAAUUUCAAUUUACAAUGAAUCCAUGAAAAACAUUUAGCACAAUUAAAGCAGUGGACGACCAUAAACCAUACUCAGAUUCCAUAUAUAAAGUUUUAUAUACUUACCAAAAAAAGGAAAAUAAGAAGAUAUAACGAGGCAUAAGAUGAUGCCACGUGGCAGAUAGGAUUGUGUGUGGCCUCAGCACCUCAUAUAGGGUAUAAUAAGCACACUAUUUCUGCAAAGUGAAGGUCAGAAUUCUUAUCCUUCAGCAAGUAGAAGAAGAAGACGACGACAACGACGCUAGCAGCAUUGAAGAAUGGCGUCGAUGGCACCCGCUCUCUGUGGCCCUGUCUUGAACACUUCCUUCCUCAGGAAGCAACCACUGAACAUGGCAAGCAUGAAGCCUUUCCAAAACGCUAACGCCGUUUUCGGUGUGGAAGGAGGACGUGGAGGUCGUGUGACUGCCAUGGCCGCUUACAAGGUGAAGCUGAUCACCCCAGAGGGAGAACAGGAGUUCGAAUGCCCAGAUGAUGAAUACAUUCUUGAUGUUGCAGAGGGCCUAGGCCUUGACCUUCCCUACUCAUGCAGGGCUGGUUCUUGNUCUUCCUGUGCUGGCAAAGUUGUCGCCGGCAAAGUCGACCAGUCGGACGGUAACUACCUUGAUGACGACCAAAUUGGUGAAGGCUGGGUUCUCACCUGCGUUGCUUACCCAACCUCUGAUCUUGUUAUCGAGACCCACAAGGAGGAAGACCUCGUUGCUUAAAUCUUAUCAUCAUCGCUGCCUCUACUUUAUUAAGUUUCUUCCUUUCCCAGCCCCAUUGUCUUUUUCCCUUUAUUCUGUGCCAUUUUGUCAGGAUAUAUACGUAUGUUAUGUUUGUUUAUGAACAACUUGUUUUGCACUAAUUCGUUAAUUACUUCACCUGUACGUUGUAGCAGCUCAAGUUCAUUGCUGUCUUACUGUUGUUGCCCACUUGAUUGAAUGACAACUCAAUUUUUUUGGUAGAUGAUUAUGAUGUUAGUGCGGAGGAUUAGAGUUCCCAAAUGUUAGGAAAUAAAUUGUGUGGUUCUCUUCUUAUCGCUUAGAAGAGAG
RNAcentral lists this long non-coding RNA (5727 nucleotides) under Vigna radiata. RNAcentral's name for it is "long non-coding RNA (VRAD_LNC010773)". Lineage: Eukaryota; Viridiplantae; Streptophyta; Magnoliopsida; Fabales; Fabaceae. The record is from RNAcentral.